GGACUACCGGGGUAUCUAAUCCUGUUCGCUCCCCACGCUUUCGCGCCUCAGCGUCAGUAUUAGGCCAGGUGGCUGCCUUCGCCAUUGACGUUCCUUCCGAUCUCUACGCAUUUCACCGCUACACCGGAAAUUCCGCCACCCUCUCCUAUACUCCAGUUCAACCGUUUGCGAUGCACUUCCCAGGUUAAGCCCAGGGCUUUCACAUCACACAAAUUAAACCGCCUACGCGCCCUUUACGCCCAGUAAUUCCGAUUAACGCUCGCACCCUCUGUAUUACCGCGGCUGCUGGCAC
Molecule: ribosomal RNA, 292 nt
Filed under: uncultured bacterium
Lineage: Bacteria
Description: partial 16S ribosomal RNA
Source: RNAcentral